RNAcentral lists this ribosomal RNA (492 nucleotides) under uncultured bacterium. RNAcentral's name for it is "partial 16S ribosomal RNA". It matches the Rfam family "Bacterial small subunit ribosomal RNA", at positions 29 to 507 of the family's 1533-position model. The record is from RNAcentral.
AGUGAACGCUGGCGGUAGGCCUAACACAUGCAAGUCGAACGGCAGCACAGUAAGAGCUUGCUCUUACGGGUGGCGAGUGGCAGACGGGUGAGGAAUACAUCGGAAUCUACUUUUUCGUGGGGGAUAACGUAGGGAAACUUACGCUAAUACCGCAUACGACCUACGGGUGAAAGCAGGGGAUCUUCGGACCUUGCGCGAUUGAAUGAGCCGAUGUCGGAUUAGCUAGUUGGCGGGGUAAAGGCCCACCAAGGCGACGAUCCGUAGCUGGUCUGAGAGGAUGAUCAGCCACACUGGAACUGAGACACGGUCCAGACUCCUACGGGAGGCAGCAGUGGGGAAUAUUGGACAAUGGGCGCAAGCCUGAUCCAGCCAUACCGCGUGGGUGAAGAAGGCCUUCGGGUUGUAAAGCCCUUUUGUUGGGAAAGAAAAGCAGCAGGUUAAUACCCCGCUGUUCUGACGGUACCCAAAGAAUAAGCACCGGCUAACGUCGUG